Molecule: ribosomal RNA, 447 nt
Filed under: uncultured bacterium
Lineage: Bacteria
Description: SSU rRNA
Rfam family: Bacterial small subunit ribosomal RNA
Source: RNAcentral
AGAACGAACGCUGGCGGCAGGCCUAAUACAUGCAAGUCGAACGAUGUAGCAAUACAUAGUGGCGCACGGGUGAGUAACGCGUGGGAAUCUGCCCAUUAGUACGGAAUAACUGCGGGAAACUGCAGCUAAUACCGUAUACGCCCUUCGGGGGAAAGAUUUAUCGCUAAUGGAUGAGCCCGCGUAAGAUUAGCUAGUUGGUGGGGUAAAAGCCUACCAAGGCUACGAUCUUUAGCUGGUCUGAGAGGACGACCAGCCACACUGGAACUGAGACACGGUCCAGACUCCUACGGGAGGCAGCAGUAGGGAAUAUUGGACAAUGGGGGAAACCCUGAUCCAGCCAUGCCGCGUGAGUGAUGAAGGCCUUAGGGUUGUAAAGCUCUUUUACCGAGGGAAGAUAAUGACGGUACCUGGAGAAUAAGUUCCGGCUAACUUCGCGCCAGCAGCCGC